This 460-nucleotide ribosomal RNA is filed under the name uncultured bacterium. Its description in RNAcentral is "partial 16S ribosomal RNA". It matches the Rfam family "Bacterial small subunit ribosomal RNA", at positions 338 to 795 of the family's 1533-position model. The record is from RNAcentral.
CCUACGGGGGGCAGCAGUGAGGAAUAUUGGUCAAUGGACGAGAGUCUGAACCAGCCAAGUCGCGUGAAGGAUGACUGCCCUAUGGGUUGUAAACUUCUUUUAUAUGGGAAUAAAACAGGGUAUGCAUACCCUCUUGUAUGUACCAUAUGAAUAAGGAUCGGCUAACUCCGUGCCAGCAGCCGCGGUAAUACGGAGGAUCCGAGCGUUAUCCGGAUUUAUUGGGUUUAAAGGGAGCGUAGGCGGAUUGUUAAGUCAGUGGUGAAAGGUUGGGGCUCAACCGGAAAAUUGCAGUUGAAACUGGCAGUCUUGAGUAGAGUAGAGGUGGGCGGAAUGCGUGGUGUAGCGGUGAAAUGCUUAGAUAUCACGAAGAACUCCGAUUGCGAAGGCAGCUUACUGGACUGCAACUGACACUGAGGCACGAAAGUGUGGGUAUCAAACAGGAUUAGAUACCCGAGUAGUC